AGAGUUUGGUAUCCUCGCGUCAGGAUGAACGACUGGCGGCGACUUGCUUAACUACGAUAGCAAGUUCGAACCGGGAAAGUGGGUGGUUUUCCACGUAGGCGAACGGGUAGGAGUAAACGCCGUAAGAACCUGCCCUUCGGGUAGGGGGAACGAACAAACUGGAAACGGUUAGCUAAUACCCCGUACGGCUGAGGAGCAAAAGGAGAAAUACCGCCCAACGGAGGGGGCUCGCGUCUGGAUUAGCUAGUUGGUGAGGCAAUAGCUUACCAAGGCGAUGAUCAGUAGCUGGUCCGAGAGGAUGAUCAGCCACACUGGGACUGAGACACGGCCCAGACUCCUACGGGAGGCAGCAGUGGGGAAUUUUCCGCAAUGGGCGAAAGCCUGACGGAGCAAUGCCGCGUGGAGGUGGAAGGCCUACGGGUCGUCAACUUUCUUUUCUCGGAGAAGAAACAAUGACGGUAUCUGAGGAAUAAGCAUCGGCUAACCCUGUG
This 491-nucleotide ribosomal RNA is filed under the name uncultured bacterium. RNAcentral's name for it is "bacterial SSU rRNA". It matches the Rfam family "Bacterial small subunit ribosomal RNA", at positions 1 to 507 of the family's 1533-position model. The record is from RNAcentral.